This 468-nucleotide ribosomal RNA is filed under the name uncultured bacterium. Its description in RNAcentral is "partial 16S ribosomal RNA". It matches the Rfam family "Bacterial small subunit ribosomal RNA", at positions 28 to 507 of the family's 1533-position model. The record is from RNAcentral.
GACGAACGCUGGCGGCGUGCUUAACACAUGCAAGUCGAACGGAAAGGCCCUGCUUUUGUGGGGUGCUCGAGUGGCGAACGGGUGAGUAACACGUGAGUAACCUGCCCUUGACUUUGGGAUAACUUCAGGAAACUGGGGCUAAUAUCGGAUAGGAGCUCCUGCUGCAUGGUGGGGGUUGGAAAGUUUCGGCGGUUGGGGAUGGACUCGCGGCUUAUCGGCUUGUUGGUGGGGUAGUGGCUUACCAAGGCUUUGACGGGUAGCCGGCCUGAGAGGGUGACCGGCCACAUUGGGACUGAGAUACGGCGCAGACUCCAACGGGAGGCAGCAGUGGGGAAUAUUGCACAAUGGGCGGAAGCCUGAGGCGGCAACGCCGCGUGCGGGAUGACGGCCUUCGGGUUGUAAACCGCUGUCGCCUGUGACGAAGCGUGAGUGACGGUAAUGGGUAAAGAAGCACCGGCUAACUACGUG